This 253-nucleotide ribosomal RNA is filed under the name uncultured bacterium. Its description in RNAcentral is "partial 16S ribosomal RNA". It matches the Rfam family "Bacterial small subunit ribosomal RNA", at positions 524 to 776 of the family's 1533-position model. The record is from RNAcentral.
CACGUAGGGCGCAAGCGUUGUCCGGAAUUAUUGGGCGUAAAGAGCUCGUAGGCGGUCUGUUGCGUCCGCUGUGAAAACUCGGGGCUUAACCCCGAGCCUGCAGUGGAUACGGGCAGACUAGAGGUAGGUAGGGGAGAAUGGAAUUCCCGGUGUAGCGGUGAAAUGCGCAGAUAUCGGGAGGAACACCGGUGGCGAAGGCGGUUCUCUGGGCCAAUACUGACGCUGAGGAGCGAAAGCGUGGGGAGCGAACAGG